CACCAGCAAGUUCUUCAGUCACACAUAUUAUUUUGAACUCGGUUGGGCAUGGCUAUGUGACUUGCCUAGAGCUGUGGAAUGUAAGGGGAAGUGAUGUGUAUCACUUCUAGACAGAGUUGAGAUGGGUCUUCUAUAGUCUCCUUCUCUACCAUGUGGACCAGCAAAACACACCAUGUGCUACGGUUUAGAUCUGGAAUGUCCCCUAAAGGCCCCCAUGUUAAGGGCUUGGUCCCCAGCCUGGUGUUAUUUGAAGACUGUGGAAAUUUAGAGCCAUGAAGUGAGCAGUUUUGCUCCACCACAUGCUCCUGCCAUGAUGUGCUGCCUCACCACAGACCCAGAGCAAUAGAGCCAAUGCACCCUGGACUGAAACUUCUAAAACUUGAAGCCAGCAAUCGGGACAAACCAUAGAAGACAGACACCUGCCAAAUAGCCUGGCUACCUGCAGUGCAGAAACUGAGGCCCAGAGAGACAAGAAGACCUUGUCAUAAAUCAUUCAGGUGGAAAUGGCAAAGGCGGGACUUGAUCCAAUCUUACUUAAUUUGAAAGGUGAAAAAUCCUCCAGCCCAGCAACAGGUGUGAGAUGGCAGCUGAUUGGUGGCAUGACCGUGGUGUUUUCAUAGAGGAAGCAAGUGUACCCAGUCAAAGCAGCAAGGAGUAAUCUGGGUCAGCAGCCCUUCCACAGGAACUGGAGCCACAAAAGAAUCCAAGUCAUCCCCUGUGAUGUAUGUUACAGUGUGGAAGGUCAACCUGCUGCUCCAGUUCACCUAAAUCUUUUGCCAGGACAUGGCCAUUUCAAGUGAAGCAUGUCUGUGCCCUGGACCUUUCCAAACCAGUUAUUCAGUAACAAUGAAUUGGAAGAACUGGCUUCACCACUCCCUACCAAAAUGACUUGUUAACUAUGGACUCUAUGUUAAUGAUAAUAUCUCAAAUGGGAAGGAAAGAGGAAAACAGUGGUUAAAGGCAGAAGGCUUGCACAGGUUGCAAAACAACAAACAAAAGAAGAAAAUAUAACCCAGCAAUUAGUUGUUUAAAAAAAUGGUGCUAAGUAAAUGUGCACACUGCCCUUGAGACUUCGUUGAAUUUCUAUCUGGCUUACAUUAUGGUAGGGAGCUUCCCUGCACUAUUGGAAAACAGUAUUCCAAAAGUAAUUCAAUCUUCUCUCCCCUUUCCUUCACAGGACUGGCCUUUGAAUAUUUUCUUAGAUUCACUGAAAAAAAAAAAAAUUCCAGCACUACAUUAGAAUGCUUAUUAAAUGUUGCCAAGCAAAGAAACUGCUGCUGAGAAUUAAUCUCUUGGGGGACUGGACCAUAUACAUGUCCAGACUUGUCUUCUCACUACAGCUCACUAACUAACCCAUAUCCAGGACACUGUGUCCUUCAGUCUAGUUACAGAAAGCUCUGGGGACACUAACUCUAAAAGGAUCAACUGCUUUUAAUAUUUCUGCAUGCAAUAAGCAUGUAGUUGUGUCAUUUAUAGUAAUAUUUGGUGGCUCGCUCUGUAGGGUGUCAUAUUUUAAAAUAUGUUCCUACAUUAUGGAAAUGAAAUGCAGCAUGACUGGAACACUGUACAGAUCCAGUGGGCAGUAUUCAAAUAGGGUCUAUGGUAGCUUAUGGAGUCGUAUAAUACACAUGAACCUCCUUGAGUAGUCACUCUGAUUCAGUCAUUUGAUAGCUGUUAGGUGUAGGCUGAUGGGAAAAGACUGACAAUAUGUACUUCAGAGACAGUAGUGGAGGACAUUAGGGUUAGAGUGGGGCAGAAUUCAGCCUAGGUGAUUAGAGGUAAGAUUUAUGUUAUCUAUCAAGUUUUAAAAGAGCUGGUGAAGGAGAUGGUAAGGCUCUGAUUCCUAGGAGGUUCCAGGUUCAGGGUGUGGUUGACCUCAAAUUCCAGAGGGGACUGGGCAACAGCCAACAAAAUAUAGGCAUUCCCCAGCAUACAACUUUUCUGAAGGUAUGUUUGUAUAUCUGUGCAUUAGACAAGAAGAAAAUGUAAAAAAAAAAAUUUGUGGCACUUUAUUGUUUGGGCAGAGCUUGCUUUCUAUGGAAUCUGAAAGCUUCCGGAUGAAUAUGCUCCAUAGAAAGGGCUCUCUUUUGCCAGCAGUUUUCCAGCCAGCACUAAUCAGCAAGUGUAGAACCCUCCUUUUGAGAUCCUAAAUGGAGCUGAGUUGUUGUCACAGUUACCAGGAUACAGUUUUUGAAGCCAUAAUGUUUUCAACAAGGGCAGCCUUGGGCUGUGUAUCUUGGGUUUCUGACUAGGCCACAGACCUAAGAUUUUAUUCUGUUUCUUUUAUCCUGCUCCCUGUACCUAUUCAGGAGCCUGACUAAUGAAUGACUUCAAUAAUCAUCCUAGUUUCAGCCCAGCUCAAACUUACUACCUGCACUUGGUUUAACUAUACAAGAUCACCCUGACCUGGAAGCAUCCAACUGUGGCUCAAGGCAUGCCUUCUACAAACUAAGACAGUUUCCAGGUUUUCCUCACGCAUUCAACUGCUUCUAAUCAAAAGACACUUGUGAAGUACUUCUCUGCACUUCCCAUGUUAAUAAGGCAUCCCAACACUUAUGUAUCUUAUAUAGCCUACUUAAGGGGGGAAAUAUCAUAAAUAUACAUAUUUUAUCUAUGAAGGAGGGUUUAUAAAGGUGAUGCCCAGGGCCCCACAACAAGAACCCAUCAUGACACGUGAUAACUAGGAUUCAAAUUCAGGGCUCUUAAAUUGCAAAGAUAGUCCUUUUUCUCCAAAUAAUGGCUGCCACUUUAGCUGCUGAGAAUUGGUAGCUGCAAGGGAAACUCACCAUCGCCUAA
Molecule: long non-coding RNA, 2796 nt
Organism: Fukomys damarensis (Damara mole-rat)
Lineage: Eukaryota; Metazoa; Chordata; Mammalia; Rodentia; Bathyergidae
Exons: 5
Source: RefSeq, a predicted model, not a curated record